Small nuclear RNA from Chionomys nivalis (European snow vole), 102 nucleotides. The record is from RefSeq and is a predicted model, not a curated record. Lineage: Eukaryota; Metazoa; Chordata; Mammalia; Rodentia; Cricetidae.
GACCCUGUCGGCAGCACACACUAAAACUGGAGCGAUACAGAGAAGAUCAGCACGGCCCUGCGCAAGGGUGACACGCAAAGUCGUGAAGCGUUCCAUGUUUUU